AAUCGAACCCGGAGAUAGCUGGUUCUCCUCGAAAUAGCUUUAGGGCUAGCCUCAUGAGAGUCUUAUGGAGGUAGAGCACUGAAUUGCCUAGGGGGCGUCAAAGCUUACCAAAGCAUAUCAAACUCCGAAUGCCAUCAAGAUGAUUCAUGGGAGUCAGACCAUACGAGAUAAGUUGGAUGGUCAAAAGGGAAAGAGCCCAGACCUACAGCUAAGGUCCCAAAGUACGUGUUAAGUGGAAAAGGAUGUGGGGAUUCUAAGACAACUAGGACGUUGGCUUAGAAGCAGCCAUUCAUUGAAAGAGUGCGUAAUAGCUCACUAGUCGAGAGUCCCUGCGCCGAAAAUGUCCGGGGCUGAAACACGACACCGAAGCUUAGGAAUGUGUAAACAUUGGUAGAGGAGCAUUGCUAGCGGGAUGAAGCCAUACCGUAAGGAGUGGUGGACUGCUAGGAAGAGAGAAUGCCGGAAUGAGUAGCGAGAUGAAGGUGAGAAUCCUUCAGGCCGAAUAUCUAAGGUUUCCAGAGUAAAGCUGAUCUGCUCUGGGUAAGUCGGGACCUAAGGCGAGGUCGAAAGACGUAGUCGAUGGAUAACAGGUUGAAAUUCCUGUACCGCAUAUAAACAGAACUGUGGGGACACAGACAGGGAAUGGAAUCCGGGAAUGGAUAUCCCGGUGCAAGCGAGGUAGGAGUGCUGUUGGCAAAUCCGCAGCACGAUCUGAAGACGUGACGCGUACCGAACAUAAGUAGGGAAGUCCAGGCCCCUGGCUGUCAAGAAAAGCCGCUAUCGUUUUAUAUGUGCCCGUACCGCAAACCGACACAGGUGGAUGAGGAGAGAAUCCUAAGGCCGACGGGAGAAGUAUUGUUAAGGAACUCGGCAAAAUGACUCCGUAACUUCGGGAGAAGGAGUGCCAUGAAAGUGGCCGCAGAGAAAUGGCCCAAGCAACUGUUUAGCAAAAACACAGGUCUAUGCAAAACCGCAAGGUGAAGUAUAUGGGCUGACGCCUGCCCGGUGCUGGAAGGUUAAGGGGAGAGGUUAGCGCAAGCGAAGCUUUGAACUUAAGCCCCAGUAAACGGCGGCCGUAACUAUAACGGUCCUAAGGUAGCGAAAUUCCUUGUCGGGU
This 1117-nucleotide ribosomal RNA is filed under the name human gut metagenome. Its description in RNAcentral is "bacterial LSU rRNA". It matches the Rfam family "Bacterial large subunit ribosomal RNA", at positions 831 to 1977 of the family's 2925-position model. The record is from RNAcentral.